This is a long non-coding RNA of Heterocephalus glaber (naked mole-rat), 2081 nucleotides long. The record is from Ensembl. Lineage: Eukaryota; Metazoa; Chordata; Mammalia; Rodentia; Bathyergidae.
CAGGAGUCUGAACCCAGUGGUGCUGUCAUUACACUAUCACUCUGAAAUCACUUCCCCUGGCUGCCACCUCCCUCCACAUUUCUACUCCUUGAGCAAACCUCACGGUUGUUAAUAGCUUUAUUUUCCCGCACUGAGCUACAUCCACAGUCCUUUUUAAAACUUUUAUUUUGAGAUGGGCUCUCACUGAGCUGUAAAAUUGCCCAGGCUGGCUUGAAUUUAUGAUCUCCCUGCCUCAGCCUCCAGAGUGUGAGGGUUACAAGUGUGGGCCACCAAGCUUGACCUUAGAAUGAAACAUCCUGCUUGCAGACCUAAAUUCCAUUACUGAUUAUCUAUUUCUAUCUAGGUGUUAUCAAUGAUCAGUAAUAUCACAAAAAAAGAGAGGCAACUGGGUAUUCAUUGUACUGUCCCAAACAGGGAACACAACACCACGGAGGCGAUGGUCAUGUUGAAGAAAAGAUCUAACCUGAAUCUGAUCCACCUCCAGAUGUUAAAUUAUAGCAGCUAUGUUGAGGACAUCACCAGAGCCCUAAAUCUGGAAAUUCUAAAGGACAAACAGCUUGGCUUGUUUUUGUUUUUUAACAAAUAAAUUGAGAAAAAAGAAAGAGAAAAGUUACAGAUUAAGAGAUUUAAAAGACAGAUUAAUCAAUUGCAAGAGAAUAUUAUUUCUGAGAUUUGUUUUGAAACAAUACAGAAAAGGGAAACACGAAUGGUGAUACAGAUGAAACCAGGUCAGGUCUGCAUUGAUAAUUAUUGAAGCUGGAGGAUGGGCACACAGAGCAGGUAUCGAACGAAGGACGUUGUGCUUGCGGAGCAGACGGCGAAACCACUGAGCUAAAUCUUCGGCGGGCAAACUGUUCACCAGUAACAAUUUAGUCCUUGCUGGUUUCCAGGGGCGGAGGGAAGCCUCCGCUUCCCGCCUCUCGGCAGUCUCCACCUCCGCCCCAACGCGCCUUCCGCUGCCCCACUAGGUGGCGCCACUGCCGAGCCACACCCGCCCCCAGCCUGCACCUCUCUGAAGAUCCCGAGAAGCGGGAGCUCCCACCCUGGGCCACCUCGUCAGUCCGAGCCAAGGGCGGCACCAGUGAUGAAACUGCUCUGUGUGCUCAGCGCCUCGCUGUGAAACUUUAACCAGUACUCUGGAUGGCCCUCCAAUUUCAAUUAAUACGGACGUGUUUGGCAGGGUCGUGGAUUCUAGCUGAUCUCUGUGAGGACAGGAGGGCCUUCCCUGAGGCGCUCUGAAAGCACGUCUUUGGGCCACAGAAAAGAGCGCUGUCCUAGUGUCAGCAGGUCUGCAGGGGACAGAAGACGCCCCCGGGCACCGGCGCGCUCCCCGCCUGGCUCUGGAACCCUGGUCCAGAGCGGGACGAGUGCCCCACGUUGUCAGGUCUUUCUUCUGACUUUUCAGCCAAAGCUAGGAAUCAUGCCCGCGUCCUUCCAAGGCCAAAUGUUUAUGUAAAAUGUGCAAAAGAAAGAUAUGUCUGUAAUUGUUUAAGACUGCUAUGUGGUUCUACUUUGAUUUCCUCUCUAUUGUGAGGGGCCUUACAGGUAGGCCUGCAAGAUGGGUAACCCAAGCAAGAAUCGCUUGGCACCUCUGCCUUCGCUGUACGUGGCCCCCUUGUCACCUUCACACUGGAUCAGAUCCUUGCUCAGCCCCUCAGUAGGCACGUUGGCCACUGACGGACGAAGUUCAGCAGCCCUAAAUCCCCCCAGUCUAUCUUAUCCCACUUCGAGAUUGAGGAUGCCAAGGUAAGAGUAAAGUAAUUUUCAGGAUUUGCAGGGGCAUCUAAUUCCCAGAUUUUAAAGCGUCCGGUUCCAGAAGCCCUGGAGCGACGCCUUCAAGUAUCCUGUCCUUGUCCUACACCCGCAGUUGCCUGGGAUUCCGGGAAAAGCAGAGCCAGAAGACCGGAGGAUGAGAUCACACCCACCCCGAAGCAGGGAUAAUUACCCGGUGAUGGGAAUCGAGGUUGCCCAACAGACCCCCGGCGGUCAUCGCCCUCGUUUCUUUUCUACCCUCUAUAGAAUUGAUUUAUUUCGUUUUUAUUAGUACAUGUUUGCAGAAUAUAAUGAUUACAGUCAUCGUG